Molecule: small nuclear RNA, 190 nt
Filed under: Pisaster ochraceus (purple sea star)
Lineage: Eukaryota; Metazoa; Echinodermata; Asteroidea; Forcipulatida; Asteriidae
Description: U2 spliceosomal RNA
Rfam family: U2 spliceosomal RNA
About the family: U2 is a small nuclear RNA (snRNA) component of the spliceosome (involved in pre-mRNA splicing). Complementary binding between U2 snRNA (in an area lying towards the 5' end but 3' to hairpin I) and the branchpoint sequence (BPS) of the intron results the bulging out of an unpaired adenosine, on the BPS, which initiates a nucleophilic attack at the intronic 5' splice site, thus starting the first of two transesterification reactions that mediate splicing.
Source: Rfam by way of RNAcentral
AUCGCUUCUCGGCCUUUUGGCUAAGAUCAUGUGUAGUAUCUGUUCUUUUCAGAAUAAUAUCUGAAAUGCUGCUCAUCGAGCAGCAAGUAUAUUAAUCUGAUUUUUGGAUGAUCGGCCAUGGAAUAGGGGCUUGCCGUCCUGGCCACGGGUUGGCCCGGUUUGCACUACUGCCGGGAUCGGCCACACUCCC